RNAcentral lists this unclassified non-coding RNA (302 nucleotides) under Hevea brasiliensis (rubber tree). The record is from RNAcentral. Lineage: Eukaryota; Viridiplantae; Streptophyta; Magnoliopsida; Malpighiales; Euphorbiaceae.
GCUUGGAUCAAUGUAGAUUUACCACUUCCAGUUCGCCCAACUAUUCCAAUUUUCCUUCCACCAGGAAAGGCGCAUGAUAUCCCAUGAAGUACCAUGGGAAGAUUCUCAGCAUAACGAACCUUCAAAUCAAUCAGUUCUAUUGUCCCAUUUUCUGGCCAUGAGGAUGGAGUGCGGAAACUCUCAAUAACUGAUGGAGCUUCACUUGGAAUUUGGCUGUACUGAUAAAUCCUUUCUAUAGAAAUAAUUUUGUUUUCUAGUUUGCAAAAGCUAAGUAUCCACCGCGAUAGGCGUGCAUUUAAAUU